Molecule: ribosomal RNA, 497 nt
Filed under: uncultured bacterium
Lineage: Bacteria
Description: partial 16S ribosomal RNA
Rfam family: Bacterial small subunit ribosomal RNA
Source: RNAcentral
GAUGAACGCUGGCGGCGUGCCUAAUACAUGCAAGUCGAGCGAACGGACGAGAAGCUUGCUUCUCUGAUGUUAGCGGCGGACGGGUGAGUAACACGUGGAUAACCUACCUAUAAGACUGGGUUAACUCCGGGAAACCGUAGCUAAUACCGGAUAAUAUUUUGAACCGCAUGGUUCAAAAGUGAAAGACGGUCUUGCUGUCACUUAUAGAUGGAUCCGCGCUGCAUUAGCUAGUUGGUAAGGUAACGGCUUACCAAGGCAACGAUGCAUAGCCGACCUGAGAGGGUGAUCGGCCACACUGGAACUGAGACACGGUCCAGACUCCUACGGGAGGCAGCAGUAGGGAAUCUUCCGCAAUGGGCGAAAGCCUGACGGAGCAACGCCGCGUGAGUGAUGAAGGUCUUCGGAUCGUAAAACUCUGUUAUUAGGGAAGAACAUAUGUGUAAGUAACUGUGCACAUCUUGACGGUACCUAAUCAGAAAGCCACGGCUAACUACGUG